Molecule: ribosomal RNA, 492 nt
Filed under: uncultured bacterium
Lineage: Bacteria
Description: partial 16S ribosomal RNA
Rfam family: Bacterial small subunit ribosomal RNA
Source: RNAcentral
GAUGAACGCUAGCUACAGGCUUAACACAUGCAAGUCGAGGGGAAACGACAUCGAAAGCUUGCUUUUGAUGGGCGUCGACCGGCGCACGGGUGAGUAACGCGUAUCCAACCUGCCCAUCACUUGGGGAUAACCUUGCGAAAGUAAGACUAAUACCCAAUGAUAUCUCUAGAAGACAUCUGAAAGAGAUUAAAGAUUUAUCGGUGAUGGAUGGGGAUGCGUCUGAUUAGCUUGUUGGCGGGGUAACGGCCCACCAAGGCAACGAUCAGUAGGGGUUCUGAGAGGAAGGUACCCCACAUUGGAACUGAGACACGGUCCAAACUCCUACGGGAGGCAGCAGUGAGGAAUAUUGGUCAAUGGGCGAGAGCCUGAACCAGCCAAGUAGCGUGCAGGAAGACGGCCCUAUGGGUUGUAAACUGCUUUUAUAAGGGAAUAAAGUGAGAGUCGUGACUCUUUUUGUAUGUACCUUAUGAAUAAGGACCGGCUAAUUCCGUG